RNAcentral lists this ribosomal RNA (497 nucleotides) under uncultured bacterium. RNAcentral's name for it is "partial 16S ribosomal RNA". It matches the Rfam family "Bacterial small subunit ribosomal RNA", at positions 28 to 507 of the family's 1533-position model. The record is from RNAcentral.
GAUGAACGCUGGCGGCGUGCCUAAUACAUGCAAGUCGAGCGGACAGACGAGGAGCUUGCUCCUCUGACGUUAGCGGCGGACGUGUGAGUAACACGUGGAUAACCUACCUAUCAUACUGGUAUAACUUCGGGAAACCGGAUCUAAUACCGUAUAAUAUAUUGAACCAUGUGGUUCAAUAGUAAAAUACGGUUGUUCGGGCUCGUAUAGAUGGAUCUGCGCCUCAUUGUCUAGUAGUUAAGUUAACGGCUUACCAAGGCGACGAGGCGUGGCCGACCUGGUAGGGUGAUCGGCCACACUGGAACUGAGACACGGACAAGACUCCUACGGGAGGAAGCAGUAGCGAAUGUUCAGCAAUGGGCGAAAGCCUGACGCAGCAACGCCGAGCGAGUUACGACGGUCCCCGGAUCGUAAAAAUCUGUUAUUGGGGAAGAACAAAUGUGUAAGUAAAUAAGCCCGUCUUGACGGUAACUAAUAAGAAAGCAACGGCUAACUACGUG